This is a long non-coding RNA of Helianthus annuus (common sunflower), 149 nucleotides long. RefSeq lists it as uncharacterized. NCBI's taxonomy places the organism in Eukaryota, Viridiplantae, Streptophyta, Magnoliopsida, Asterales, Asteraceae. The record is from RefSeq and is a predicted model, not a curated record. The transcript has 3 exons.
AAUACAUAGAAACGAUCACCAAGUCAAGGGGAUCGUAAGGUGGAGGCUUGGAAAGGAAGCGGGUCAAACGAAGCAAGAAUGGCGGAAAAGCGUAAUUCGGAUGCAAAGUACUUAUGGAUGCCGGAAGACGAUCAAGCUCAGUGAAGAAC